Molecule: ribosomal RNA, 634 nt
Filed under: uncultured bacterium
Lineage: Bacteria
Description: bacterial SSU rRNA
Rfam family: Bacterial small subunit ribosomal RNA
Source: RNAcentral
UAGCCGGUCUCGCGAAUGCAUUAGAUUUAAGUUUGAUCAUGGCUCAGGNUGAAGCGCUACGGCGUGCCUAAUACACGCAAGUCGAGCGAAUGGAUUAAGAGCUUGCUCUUAUGAAGUUAGCGGCGGACGGGUGAGUAACACGUGGGUAACCUGCCCAUAAGACUGGGAUAACUCCGGGAAACCGGGGCUAAUACCGGAUAACAUUUUGAACCGCAUGGUUCGAAAUUGAAAGGCGGCUUCGGCUGUCACUUAUGGAUGGACCCGCGUCGCAUUAGCUAGUUGGUGAGGUAACGGCUCACCAAGGCAACGAUGCGUAGCCGACCUGAGAGGGUGAUCGGCCACACUGGGACUGAGACACGGCCCAGACUCCUACGGGAGGCAGCAGUAGGGAAUCUUCCGCAAUGGACGAAAGUCUGACGGAGCAACGCCGCGUGAGUGAUGAAGGCUUUCGGGUCGUAAAACUCUGUUGUUAGGGAAGAACAAGUGCUAGUUGAAUAAGCUGGCACCUUGACGGUACCUAACCAGAAAGCCACGGCUAACUACGUGCCAGCAGCCGCGGUAAUACGUAGCGUGGCAAAGCGUUAUCCGGCAACUUUUUGGGCGUAAAGCGCGCGCAGUGGUUUCUUUAAGUCUG